UGGUUUUCAGAUCGCACCACCUAAACUUACCAGAAAAUUUCAACCAUACACAACAGGAAGUUCAUAUCAAAAGUACAUUGUCGAAUGUUCAUCGUCUCAUGUGGCAGAUGCUCAGCUUUCGUGGUAUAACGGAAGCGUUUCUCUCUACAACCUCACCAUUUCUCCUCAUAACACCAGAUUAUAUCUCGAGGUGGAUUUUCAGGAUCAAAACAGCUACAGUUGUAUGGUGUCCAUUUCGGGCGUCAAUCAGAACAAAUCACAUCUAGACCUAAAACGGACCUGUCAACCAUGUCCAGAACUAACAAUGAUGCCAGUAAGUGAGGGGGGGGGGGAUAUCACUUUAUCCACCCACCUUAAGGAACGACAUAAUGAAGACAUAGAGUGGGUGUACGAUGAUAAAGCUCUUAUUGCUAAACUCCAUGGACAAAACAAUGACUAUUAUGACUAUGACAAUAGGGGAUUAAGAGACAGACUGCAUCUGGACUUUAAGACUGGAUCUCUCACCAUCAAAAACAUCAGUAAAAUCCACUCCGGAACAUAUGAACCAAAAAUCACUGACGACUCUCUGAUGACCCGGCAAUGCCUGAGUUAUAAUGUUACUGUAUACGAUUCUCUGCCCGUGCCUGUCAUCACCAAGAACUCCACAAAAUGUUCAUCAUUAACAAAGAAAUCAAAAUGUGUUGUGAUGUGUUCAGUGAAUGUGACGGGUGGGACUCUCUCCUGGUAUAAGGGAAGCAGAUUAAAAUCGGACGCACCAGUGUGUCCGAUCUCAAAACAAGCAACUUUCUAUGUCUGGAUGUGGAAUUACAGGAUCCAAACAACUACAGCUGUGUGGUGAACAACUCGUUCACCAACAGAACUACACGACUCCACAUCAAUGAAUUAUGUAAAGAUCAACAGAAUAAUCUGCCUUAUCUUGGAUUUCUUCUUGUUCCUGUUGUUAUUCUUUGCCUGAUCUAUUGCCUGAGAAAGAAGUGUCAAAGAGACUAGUAUCACCUACAGCAUAAAUAUACAUAUUUAGGGAAGUGGCAUCAGUUAACAUCCUUUGACCCCAGGCAGCAUAAAUUAUGUGAUGCGUACUUAUUGUACUGUAUAUAUAUUUAUACAUUAUGUGAUAUAGAUGAUGUUUUAUUUGUUCACGUUUUUUGAUACAUUUUAUGUAUAUAUUUACAGAAGUGUUCAAUAUAUAAAAACGUUGUUUUGAAAGGAUGUGGUUUGAUAUAGCACAGGAUGACAAUCUCACAGUCAUUAUAAUGAGACUCUGAAUGUGUUUGUGUUCAGCAGAUGCCAGCAGAGGUCAAUAUGCGGUCUCUUUUACUGCUGCUCAAGGAAAUGGUAGUUGAUGCUUUACAUUUUAACAGUACAUGGUAAACCACUUAAUAUGUAAAAUACAAUUUUAAAAAUCAAUUUGGUAAGACACAACUUUGAUGGCUUCAACCUUUUGUUUUGAUGUUCACACAUGUAAAAUUGCAAAUUAGGAGGCCUAAGUGAUGCAAAAGAACAUUAAUGAAGUUAAAAGGGAAAAUUCAGACAUACAAAUGGUCAGAAACUGUUACAUCUCACAACUGUGAUGAGACUGAAUUUGUAUAUUCAGCAGUUACAGCUGAAGAUCCAGAGGAGACCAGUGGCGCUGCUGCACAAGACAAUGGUGAAUCUGGUCAGGGCACAUCAGGCAACAUUGCUACUGAAGAGACAAGACUGAUAGUUCAUCCAUCAUCUUCACAGGAGUCCUUGCCCUCAAAUACACUUUGCUGUUCAAAGUAACAGUGACCUUCUGUUACACUAAACAUUAUAAUCCAUUAGAAGAUUUGGACCACUGCAGAAUCUCCAAGUUUCUGAUAAGGGGUCAAAUCUCAUCACAAGUCGUCACUAGUCGCCAUCUCUGUCGUGACACAACACAGAUGACUACAUGUGAGAACCAACAAGAUUCAGUGUGCCGCUAUGUUUGACCGGACCUUGAUGAUCAUUACUGGAUUUAAUGAUGAAUCGAUGCACUUUAAAACCAUUCACUGGCAUUACAAUGCUGGGAAGAACCAUAUUAUUUAUCAUAUUGUUUAACUAGAAUUCAAAUUUUUCUGUGAAUGAUUUCUCUAAUCCUACCAAUGGUGCAAUUGAUUUGAAGAUAAGUUCAAUUUAUGUUUAUCUCGUACAUAUAGGGGCACAAUGUGAAACUGACUUGAAUUGACAUGAUUAAGGUUUGGCUAAAACAACCACGAAUGCUGACCUCGAGGAUCUUCGCUCAAACAGUUUUGUUGGAAACUGGAUUGUCACUUUUCUCCAUCCAUGAAUUUGUUUAUUGUGCUUAUUUAUAUAUAGCAAUACAUUUAUUGACUUUAUUGUGCCGAAUGUUUAUAUCGAACAGCUAUGUAAUCCUUGUCACGCUCUUGAACC
Molecule: long non-coding RNA, 2391 nt
Organism: Triplophysa dalaica
Lineage: Eukaryota; Metazoa; Chordata; Actinopteri; Cypriniformes; Nemacheilidae
Exons: 5
Source: RefSeq, a predicted model, not a curated record